AGAGUUUGAUCAUGGCUCAGGACGAACGCUGGCGGCGUGCCUAACACAUGCAAGUCGCACGGGCUUGGGGGGCAACUCCCAAGUUAGUGGCGAACGGGUGCGUAACACGUGAGCAACUUGCCCUACGGUGGGGGAUAGCCGGCCCAACGGCCGGGUAAUACCGCAUAUGGCGCUUGGGUCGCAUGGCCCGGGCGGGAAAGCGGCCGCAAGGUCGCGCCGAAGGAGGGGCUCGCGGCGUAUCAGCUAGUUGGCGGGGUAAUGGCCCACCAAGGCUACGACGCGUAGCUGGUCUGAGAGGAUGGCCAGCCACAUUGGGACUGAGAUACGGCCCAGACUCCUACGGGAGGCAGCAGUGGGGAAUAUUGCGCAAUGGCCGCAAGGCUGACGCAGCGACGCCGCGUGUGGGAUGAAGGCCUUCGGGUUGUAAACCACUGUCGGGGGGGACGAAUACUCGGCUUCGAACAGGAGACCGAGGGUGACGGUACCUCCAAAGGAAGCACCGGCUAACUCCGUGCCAGCAGCCGCGGUAAUACGGAGGGUGCGAGCGUUGUCCGGAAUCACUGGGCGUAAAGGGCGCGUAGGCGGCCGCGUAAGUCACUUGUGAAAUCCCGGGGCUCAACUCCGGGGCCGCAGGUGAGACUGCGUGGCUAGAGCUCAGUAGAGGCGAGCGGAAUUCCCGGUGUAGCGGUGGAAUGCGUAGAUAUCGGGAAGAACACCGGUGGCGAAGGCGGCUCGCUGGGCUGAUGCUGACGCUGAGGCGCGAAAGCGUGGGGAGCAAACAGGAUUAGAUACCCUAGUAGUCC
This 803-nucleotide ribosomal RNA is filed under the name uncultured bacterium. RNAcentral's name for it is "bacterial SSU rRNA". It matches the Rfam family "Bacterial small subunit ribosomal RNA", at positions 8 to 796 of the family's 1533-position model. The record is from RNAcentral.